AGAGUUUGAUCCUGGCUCAGAUUGAACGCUGGCGGCAUGCCUUACACAUGCAAGUCGAACGGCAGCACGGAGCUUGCUCUGGUGGCGAGUGGCGAACGGGUGAGUAAUAUAUCGGAACGUACCCUAGAGUGGGGGAUAACGUAGCGAAAGUUACGCUAAUACCGCAUACGAUCUAAGGAUGAAAGUGGGGGAUCGCAAGACCUCAUGCUCGUGGAGCGGCCGAUAUCUGAUUAGCUAGUUGGUAGGGUAAAAGCCUACCAAGGCAUCGAUCAGUAGCUGGUCUGAGAGGACGACCAGCCACACUGGAACUGAGACACGGUCCAGACUCCUACGGGAGGCAGCAGUGGGGAAUUUUGGACAAUGGGCGAAAGCCUGAUCCAGCAAUGCCGCGUGAGUGAAGAAGGCCUUCGGGUUGUAAAGCUCUUUUGUCAGGGAAGAAACGGUGAGAGCUAAUAUCUCUUGCUAAUGACGGUACCUGAAGAAUAAGCACCGGCUAACUACGUGCCAGCAGCCGCGGUAAUACGUAGGGUGCAAGCGUUAAUCGGAAUUACUGGGCGUAAAGCGUGCGCAGGCGGUUUUGUAAGUCUGAUGUGAAAUCCCCGGGCUCAACCUGGGAAUUGCAUUGGAGACUGCAAGGCUAGAAUCUGGCAGAGGGGGGUAGAAUUCCACGUGUAGCAGUGAAAUGCGUAGAUAUGUGGA
This 699-nucleotide ribosomal RNA is filed under the name uncultured bacterium. RNAcentral describes it as "bacterial SSU rRNA". It matches the Rfam family "Bacterial small subunit ribosomal RNA", at positions 8 to 702 of the family's 1533-position model. The record is from RNAcentral.